RNAcentral lists this ribosomal RNA (445 nucleotides) under uncultured bacterium. Its description in RNAcentral is "partial 16S ribosomal RNA". It matches the Rfam family "Bacterial small subunit ribosomal RNA", at positions 354 to 796 of the family's 1533-position model. The record is from RNAcentral.
GUGAGGAAUAUUGCGCAAUGGAGGCAACUCUGACGCAGCCAUGCCGCGUGCAGGAAGAAGGCGCUACGCGUUGUAAACUGCUUUUAACCGGGAAGAAACCCCAGGACAUGUCCUGGGUUGACGGUACCGGAGGAAUAAGCACCGGCUAACUUCGUGCCAGCAGCCGCGGUAAUACGAAGGGUGCAAGCGUUAUCCGGAUUCAUUGGGUUUAAAGGGUGCGUAGGCGGAGCGUUAAGUCAGUGGUGAAAUCCUGCAGCUUAACUGUAGACUUGCCAUUGAUACUGGCGCUCUUGAGUGCGCUUGAAGUGGGCGGAAUGUGCCGUGUAGCGGUGAAAUGCUUAGAUAUGGCACAGAACACCAAUUGCGAAGGCAGCUCACUAAGGCGAUACUGACGCUGAGGCACGAAAGCGUGGGGAUCGAACAGGAUUAGAUACCCGUGUAGUCC